UAGCUCAGUCCGUAGAGCAUGAGACUCUUAAUCUCAGGUUGUGGGUUCGUGCCCCAC
Molecule: transfer RNA, 57 nt
Filed under: Cricetulus griseus (Chinese hamster)
Lineage: Eukaryota; Metazoa; Chordata; Mammalia; Rodentia; Cricetidae
Rfam family: tRNA
About the family: Transfer RNA (tRNA) molecules are approximately 80 nucleotides in length. Their secondary structure includes four short double-helical elements and three loops (D, anti-codon, and T loops). Further hydrogen bonds mediate the characteristic L-shaped molecular structure. tRNAs have two regions of fundamental functional importance: the anti-codon, which is responsible for specific mRNA codon recognition, and the 3' end, to which the tRNAs corresponding amino acid is attached (by aminoacyl-tRNA synthetases). tRNAs cope with the degeneracy of the genetic code in two manners: having more than one tRNA (with a specific anti-codon) for a particular amino acid; and 'wobble' base-pairing, i.e. permitting non-standard base-pairing at the 3rd anti-codon position.
Source: Rfam by way of RNAcentral